GAGUUUGAUCCUGGCUCAGGAUGAACGCUGGCGGCGUGCUUAACACAUGCAAGUCGAGCGAUGAAGUUUCCUUCGGGAAACGGAUUAGCGGCGGACGGGUGAGUAACACGUGGGUAACCUGCCUCAUAGAGUGGAAUAGCCUUCCGAAAGGAAGAUUAAUACCGCAUAACGUUGAAAGAUGGCAUCAUCAUUUAACCAAAGGAGCAAUCCGCUAUGAGAUGGACCCGCGGCGCAUUAGCUAGUUGGUGGGGUAACGGCCUACCAAGGCGACGAUGCGUAGCCGACCUGAGAGGGUGAUCGGCCACAUUGGGACUGAGACACGGCCCAGACUCCUACGGGAGGCAGCAGUGGGGAAUAUUGCACAAUGGGGGAAACCCUGAUGCAGCAACGCCGCGUGAGUGAUGAAGGUUUUCGGAUCGUAAAGCUCUGUCUUUGGGGUAGAUAAUGACGGUACCCAAGGAGGAAGCCACGGCUAACUACGUGCCAGCAGCCGCGGUAAUACGUAGGUGGCAAGCGUUAUCCGGAUUUACUGGGCGUAAAGGGAGCGUAGGCGGAUGAUUAAGUGGGAUGUGAAAUACCCGGGCUCAACUUGGGUGCUGCAUUCCAAACUGGUUAUCUAGAGUGCAGGAGAGGAGAGUGGAAUUCCUAGUGUAGCGGUGAAAUGCGUAGA
RNAcentral lists this ribosomal RNA (670 nucleotides) under uncultured bacterium. Its description in RNAcentral is "bacterial SSU rRNA". It matches the Rfam family "Bacterial small subunit ribosomal RNA", at positions 9 to 694 of the family's 1533-position model. The record is from RNAcentral.